AUACGGAGGGGGCUAGCGUUGUUCGGAAUUACAGGGCGUAAAGCGCGUGUAGGCGGAUCGUUAAGUCAGGGGUGAAAGCCCGGGGCUCAACCCCGGAACUGCCCUUGAUACUGGCGAUCUAGAGUCCGGAAGAGGUGGGCGGAAUUCCCGGUGUAGAGGUGAAAUUCGUAGAUAUCGGGAGGAACACCAGUGGCGAAGGCGGCUCACUGGUCCGGCACUGACGCUGAGACGCGAAAGCGUGGGGAGCAAACAGGAUUAGAAACCCUAGUAGUCC
Molecule: ribosomal RNA, 274 nt
Filed under: uncultured bacterium
Lineage: Bacteria
Description: partial 16S ribosomal RNA
Rfam family: Bacterial small subunit ribosomal RNA
Source: RNAcentral